UGAAAAUAUAGAGCCUAUGGUCUUGCCCUAUUUUUAUUGUCUACUCUAUACAGUAAAAAAAAAAGAAAAAAAAAAGCUUUUUGUGUAUGGACCACUACGACCCUCCCCCUAAACAAAAAAAGAACAAAAAUAGUUGAUCCAGAAAAAGGAAGGAAGUGGAGCGUUUUUUCAACAUCAUAAGGGGGGCUGUGUCCCUAUUCCCCACUGUGUGCUUACCUCCCGACAUUUAUAGCCCAGAGGGCCUUGCUAAAGACCUCUAGCUGGAAGAACUGCGCACAAAGAAGAAGCAGGAGGAAGCAGUCUGUCAGACCAAGAAGAUGAUGUUGUGCGAGAGAUGGGACACCUGAAUAACAGGAGAGAAUCAUACAAAUAAUAUGGUCCAGGAGAGACAAUGGGGAGGUCCUCGGGAUGGAAACAACAGGAUGAGACCGCUACUUAUGUGUUUGAAGUGAACCCAUUGACUGUGUAUCAUGGUAACUCCUGUUUGAAGGAGGCUGCAGGUUUGCUUAGCAUUCUUUAUUGUUGGUAUAUCUAAGUAUAAAAUAUA
Molecule: long non-coding RNA, 547 nt
Organism: Esox lucius (northern pike)
Lineage: Eukaryota; Metazoa; Chordata; Actinopteri; Esociformes; Esocidae
Source: Ensembl